GGAGACAAGGUCUCACUAUGUUGUCCAGGCUGGUCUUGAACUCCUGGGCUCAAGACGAUCCUCCUACUUCAGCCUCCCAAAGUGUUGGGAUUACAGGCAUGAGCCACUACACGUGGCGUUUUGAAUCCUCUUCUGUACAAAGAUACAAUCUGAGUCCUUAGGACAUUUAUAGCCUAAUAUUUUCUUCCAUCAAAGUUGCUAAACCCCAUCACCAGAAUACCACAAUUAAUAUUCUCAGGAUAGAUUAUUAAUAGUUGCCUAGGAAUAAGAAUGGUAUGUGGCAAUGAUAGAAAUUUGAAAUGGCAGAUUUAUUAAGUAUUUUUAAGCCAUCAAGUUACAAAAGGCUAUUAGGGGUCUUAAAAAGACAAAGAGUAUACAAUAAAACAAUAAGCAAUUACAGAUUGUUUUAGGUUGAACAAUUUUUGUACAGUUAUAUCUAUAGUACAUUACUAAUUUACUUAGCAAACUUUAUCCUGAGAUUUGCAAAUUUAAAAAAAUGAAGAAUCAAACUAUAUUUUCUUUUCUGUUUUUUUGAAACAGAGUCUCCACUCUGUCAUCCAGGCUGGAGUACAGUGGUGUGAUCUCAGCUCAACAUAGCCUCAACCUCUUGGGUUCAAGGAAUCUCGUGCCUCAGCCUCCCAAGUAGCUGGGAUUACAGGCAUGCACCACCGUGCUCGGCUAAUUUUUUGUAUUUUUAUAGAGACGGGGUUUCA
RNAcentral lists this long non-coding RNA (713 nucleotides) under Homo sapiens (human). RNAcentral describes it as "HSALNT0015013". The record is from RNAcentral. Lineage: Eukaryota; Metazoa; Chordata; Mammalia; Primates; Hominidae.